Molecule: small nucleolar RNA, 138 nt
Organism: Ornithorhynchus anatinus (platypus)
Lineage: Eukaryota; Metazoa; Chordata; Mammalia; Monotremata; Ornithorhynchidae
Source: RefSeq, a predicted model, not a curated record
UCCCUCUCAGGGUCGCACCUGGAGAGUUUCUAGUACUCUACCAGUCUCGACUACGGGAGGGAGAGUCGAGUAGAGGCAUCCCCAUUCCAUUCCUAGCUUGGGCAGUGGCUAGUGAGUGUCAGACAAUCUGCUACAAGU